UAGGGAAUCUUCCACAAUGGGCGAAAGCCUGAUGGAGCAACGCCGCGUGAGUGAUGAAGGGUUUCGGCUCGUAAAACACUGUUGUAAGAGAAGAAUGACAUUGAGAGUAACUGUUCAAUGUGUGACGGUAUCUUACCAGAAAGGAACGGCUAAAUACGUGCCAA
This 164-nucleotide ribosomal RNA is filed under the name uncultured bacterium. Its description in RNAcentral is "partial 16S rRNA". It matches the Rfam family "Bacterial small subunit ribosomal RNA", at positions 355 to 511 of the family's 1533-position model. The record is from RNAcentral.